GAUGAAAAGUGAACAACCCAGAGGAAACAGAGCGUUGCACUGGGAGGUAACUCCGCUGGGUGAGGUGCAGCCUGUCACCUGACCGGUCUCUGGGGCUGCCGGUGGCAUCAGGCUGCAUUCCUUGAAUUCUUCCACCCGGCACCGGCUCCGCAAUGAACAACUUCAGGUUCACUGAGCUGAGCGGAUUCCACUCGCUGUGCCCUCGGAGCCUGCCUGAAUCUCCCGCCCAGUCUCAAACCAUGCAGCUGAGUAACUGCAAGGGCGCCUUUGAGGAG
Molecule: long non-coding RNA, 275 nt
Filed under: Pan troglodytes (chimpanzee)
Lineage: Eukaryota; Metazoa; Chordata; Mammalia; Primates; Hominidae
Description: long non-coding RNA NONPTRT012177
Source: RNAcentral